AAAAUUUACUCCUUGCUACCUAUAUUUAUGGCAUCCAGUCUAACCACUUGUGGUGUCCCAGCCUCCCGGGAGAAAGAGUGGAUGUUAAUUAGAAGGGAUAAAAUAAGUUCUUGCUAGUUGGAUGUAACUUUGUAAUUUGAAACAUUCUGAACAAAUAAUUGUAUGCAAGUAUUUUUUUUUUUGAAGCAAAACAAGUGAAAUUGUAUUAAUAGCAUGAACAUAAUGAUGUUAAGUUUGUGUUUACAUAGAAGCCUUUAGUUUUAUUUAUAUGGUAAUAAUUAGCCUAAACUCUGGAUAAUUGUUGUGAUCUUACCUCCACAUGGGAAAUGUCGGCAGCAUCCACAUUAUUGGUACUUGUAUUAUUUAGCUAGAGGUUGUGUAACAUAGAUCCAAGUUCUGCACUUUCAGCAGGGAUUUGAUGCUGAUUUGCAUGUGAUGGUUUUUAUGCAAUGUGGCUGCUGUUUGCUGGCGUUAAUUUGCAAUAUCAUAUUAUUCAUGAUUCAUGUGUGUAUGGUGCUGAUGUGUCAGUAGAAUGAAUUUUCACCCUUCUUGAACACAAUUUGGCAGAAAAAUGCUUAUAAAGAAACCAUAACCACAAACUAUCCCUACCUUUCUGGUGGGGUCUUUUAAGGAGCUAAUGCCUUUACUUAUGAGUAAGAGUGACG
Molecule: unclassified non-coding RNA, 665 nt
Filed under: Hevea brasiliensis (rubber tree)
Lineage: Eukaryota; Viridiplantae; Streptophyta; Magnoliopsida; Malpighiales; Euphorbiaceae
Source: RNAcentral